CUGCCCCCAGCUGCUAUUUCCCGGCGCGCGGUUAUCGCAGAUCAACAUGGAGUCCUACCGGGUGUCGGACAAUCGCUGACCCUGUCAACUCAACAAGCGCCUCCACCCAAGAGUAAGCAAGCAAAGUGAAUUCAAGGAUCACAAUUCACAUUCAAUUCGGUGCUGCCAUUGUUAGCUGCAUAAUCCAUCGAUUAAUUGUUCAGAUAGAGUCAGAGUUGGUAUGUAUGGAUCCCACCAGGAAACUAGUUGUAAGCAGCAAGUGAUGACCUGUUAGUGAUUUUCAAUUUUGAGUUGUACUCAGUGAUAUUCAUUUCUGUAAUAGCACUAGUGGUUCGUUACUUUGGUGUACUAGUAAAUGCAUUGCUCUUGAUGCUCGAGUUAGUAUGUUCGUUGAUGCUAGUACAUUCGUUCACAUACAUCCCUAUUGCGAUUUCAAUGCUAGUACCAGCUUCAGUGCAUACAAUUUCUUGCUAUUUUUUCUCUAGAAGAUGUGUUCUGCUAGCUAACUGUUGUGGCGAGUGCCAGUACUGCUUGGUCGCGUUGUAGCUGGUUGACAUGUGGGGCCGGGACCAAAAGGUUUUGAAAACCCUGGCACCGCGUGGCCUUGCCAGUGGGUGCUGCGUAGUUCGUCACUUGCUUCCUGAUUCCUCAUGGGGUUGGCGUGUCUGGGAAACCCGAGUGAGGUAAUUAAAUGACAUACAUGUAUCCAAACCUUUGGUGGUCCUUAUCGUCGUCCUGGAGCGUCCCAGAGUUCGAUGACGCCGCAUGGUUCAUGCGCUUUCUGGGUGUGAGUGGGGCUGAUGGAUGGGCACAGUUCGUGCACGUGUUUUUUAUGGGAUCAAGGGGGGUUAUUUUUUUGUUCUACCAGAGCGACUAUUCCUACAGUUUUCAUGUCUUUUGUGACAAUGCUAUGUUUUGCACUUCCAAACCUAUCAGAUUCAUUUGUUAUUCGUAUUCCUAAUACCUUUGAUUCAUCUCAAGUCAUUUAUUGUCUAUUUGAAAUGAUGUAUUUCAUAAUAAAUUUCCAUGCAACUCGACCCAAAAGAUUUGUAGCAUAUCUCCAGCCCAAAAUAGGCGGCAUGAAUUUCAAACGAUUUAACUAAGGCUCGCAAAUGAAUCAAACUUCUAAUCUUGCCCCUCUAAAUCGUGGUGGAGAGUAAUUAUAGGCAAUCUAUGUGAGGAGACGAUUAAUGAUCUAGCUUUUACAUCCGAUGUGUUCUCUCUCGUCACAUCUCACACUGUUCCCUCUCUCAGUUCUACUAAAAAAAGGGCUAUAGCUAAUAUGGACAUUAAUAACGCACCACAUAUGUGAUGCACCACUGCUAUAUAGCAGUGGCGCACCAUGUGUAGGUACGCCACUACUAACAAAUUCUUUUUUUUUCAGAACUAGUGGCGCACCACACACCCUGUGCGCCACUACUAACAAAUUUUUAUUUUACCUUUUUUCAAAACUAGUAAUGGCGCACCGUGGUUGUGGUGCGCUAUUACUAGUUCAAACUAGUAAUGGCGCACCACAACCACGGUGCGCCACUACUAAUAAUUAUUUUUUUAUUUUUUUGCAAAACUAGUAAUGGCGCACCACGUAACAGGUGCGCCAUUAGUAACCAGGGUUACUAAUGGAGCAUUAUUAGGUGGUGCGCCAUUGGUAACCUGAGAGUGGCUAGAUAUUUUAGACAGCCACCUACCACACUCACUUUUCCCACUUCAUUCUCUCCACCUCCUCCUCCAAGCUUGUCUCGGCUGCCUCCUCCUCACCUCAUUUGCACCAUAGGUUCACCCAAAUUAAGUGGUUAAAUUUCCUUUUUUUGAUAGGUAACUAAGGGGAAAGCUUCUUUAUGUUGUAGAUCUACUUUUUUCUCCCUCCAACAACGUGCACAUGCACUUUUUAUGGCAUAGAUCUAUGUAUGUUUGUGGUGUUGCAUAUGUUUGUGGUGUUACAUAUGCUUGUGUUUGCAGGUACCGGUAUUUGAAAUGCGAUAGUUGCCAAUAUUUUGCCAGAAUGUUGAUUCAUUUCCGUUUCGGCGAGAAUUUGGCACUAUGCAUUCUUUUUGGUCCUAUUUUUAGGCAAAGUCAUGCCAAAAAAUUUCUUGGUUCUAAAAUAUCGUUUUGCUCUACCCCGCAGGCGACCAUGGUCCGCACGAUGACUGACGGCAUUGUGAAUAGGUUUUUGAGCUCCGCGAAGGCUGAGAUGCUUCAAAAGAACGAGACGGAGAUAAGAUGUCCGUGUCGAAGAUGCAAGCUGAAGAGCCUUAUGGUCCCGGAUUUCGUAUAGGUGCGGGACCACCUGCUCUUGCGUGGUUUCAUGGAUGGCUAUCGGUGGCAAGGUGAUGAAGAUGAUUACGAAGUCGUCCAUGGCGGCCGGGUAAGAAAUGAGGAAGGGCAGCAAGACAACCGCGGCGAGGGCGGGGGAGAAGACGAAGAAUCUCCAGGACAUGAUCAUGAAGUAGAUGCAGUACACAGUCAUCAUGUAGAAGAUGUCGGACAUGAUGAUAAGGAAGAUAUGCCAGAGCAGACGAAGGGCAUGAUCAUGAAGAUGAAGAUGUUGGAGCAGACGACGAUGGACCAUCGAUGGGCUGGGUGCAGGACCCUCAUAUUCAAGAGCUGCUUCUCAAGCAGACAGAUAACGCAAGAGCUGCCGCCCGAGAGAAAGCCAACCUGGACCAACUGGAGAUAGACGCGGUUACUCCAUUGUAUGAAGGAUGCAGACCCGAGGAUGCCCGCCUGAAAGUAACGCUCAUGGCUCUGGAGAUGAAGGUAAAACACAAAAUGACCGACGCAUGCUUCGACGAGAACAUGUCAUUCUGGCACGAACGUCUUCCCAAGGGGAACAAGUGCCCGACCAGUUUCGAGGAGGCGAAGAAAAUCAUGUGUCCUUUGGAUUUACCGCACGUGAAAUACCAUGUGUGCAUGAACGAUUGCAUCAUUUAUCGGGACGAGCACGCGGAGUCUACCAUAUGUCCGAUGUGCGACGUCACUCGAUACAAAAAGAGGAAGAAAGCUCCUCGAAAAGUGGUGUGGUACUUUCCGAUCACUCCUUGUCUGCAGCGGUAUUUCGCGGACCCUAAGGUAGCAAAGCUCCUACGUUGGCACGCGGAUAGGGAGGAGAAGAAGCGAGAAGAUGACGGAAAUGAUCCGGAGAUAAAUAAAAAAGACAAGAUGCUGAGUCACCCUAAGGAUGUGAGCCAGUGGCAAGCGUUGAACUUCGAACACCCAAAAUUUGGGGACGAUCCAAGGAACAUCGUGCUGGGCGCGAGCACCGAUGGAGUCAAUUGUUUGGCAGCCAGAGAAGCACAUAUAGCACCUGGCAUGUGUUUGUGUGGAUGUACAACCUCCCCCCUGGUUGUGCAUGAAGAGGAAGUACAUUCACAUGAGUAUGCUAAUUGAAGGGCCAAAACAAUCAGGGAACGACAUCAAUCUGUAUCUGGGGCUGCUGAAAGAGGAGCUAGACACACUGUGGAAAAUGCCAGCCCAUACGUGGGACGCUGCAGAGAAAGAAUAUUUCCCUAUGAGAGCCGCACUGCUCACAACGGUGCACGACUAUCUCGGUUACGGAUAUGUCGCAGGGCAGGUGGUUCACGGAUUUUCUGGAUGCGUCAGGUGCAUGGAUGACACAACGUAUCGCCAGCUAGAAAGAGAUCCCAGGUCUUCGAAAAUCGUGUUCAUGGGACAUCGAAGGUGGCUUCGCGACGAGGACUCGUGGAGAAAACGCAAGGAUCUGUUCGAUGAUGAAAUCGAACCCCGAAGACGCCCGCGUACGAGGAGCGGCGAGGAAAUAGACGAGCUGUUGAAAAAUUGAAAAGAGUGCCCGGAGCCGGGAAAGAAGCGAAAGGCGCGAGAGCCACUGCUGAAGAUAUGGAAAACGAGGUCUGUUUUCUGGGACUUGCCGUACUGGAAGAUCCUCCGUGUGCCUCAUAGCCUUGAUGUCAUGCAUAUCACGAAGAACAUGUGCGGGAGUCUGCUUAGUACCCUGCUCAACAUGCCAGAGAGGACCAAAGAUGGGCCGAAAGCAAGGGCAUACUUGAAAUCAAUGGGCAUCAGGGAGGAGCUUCAAGCUAAAAAUGACGACUAUGAGGCGAAGGACACGAAAAGUCGUCGCAAAGGCAAAAAGGCCAAGAAGAUCGGAAAUGACUUCCCUCCCGCGUGCUUCACUCUAAGUCAGGAGAAGAUCGAGCAGUUUUUCACCUGCGUCGUAGGAGUAAAACUUCCUUACGGUUACGCGAGGAAGAUAAGCAGACACCUAGACUCAGCGAAGCAGAAGUUCAGCGGGAUGAAGUCUCACGACUGUCACGUGCUGAUGAUGCAGAUACUUCCAGUUGCAAUCCAUGGGAUCAUGGACGCGCACGUCCGUGAAAUGCUUUUUGGCCUAUGCAACUUUUUUGACGUCAUCUCUCGGAAGUCGAUUGGUGUGAGGCAACUCAGAAGGCUACAUGAAGAGAUCAUGGUGAUACUAUGCGAGCUUGAGAUGUACUUACCGCCCGCAUUCUUCGAUGUUAUGGUGCAUCUGCUGGUCCAUAUCGUGGAGGAUAUCAUCCAACUCGGGCCGACGUUCCUGCACAUCAUGAUGCCCUUCGAAAGGAUGAAUGGUGUCAUCAAAGGAUACAUUUGCAACAUGUCACGUCCAGAGGGAAGUAUAGCCAGGGGCUUUCUGACCUAAGAGUGCAUCUCCUACUGCACGAAUUAUCUAGGCAUCGAGAACCCCGUUGGUCUCCGCGUCAACAGGCACCUCGGCAGGCUCGCUGGAUGGGGUCACCGCGAGGGUCCUACUGCACGAACGAUACAAGUUCCCCGGUGACGUCGCAAACACACGCCUCUCAGGGAAUAAAGUGAACGGUGCCGCCCUUACGAAGAUGAGCACGGCCCUGGCUACUUGGAGAGCUGCGGUGAGGAGAAGAAUUCUAAGAGGUGAAGUUAUGAGAAGAUCAAGGAGACAAAUCCUUUGAUCAUCAAAGAUGACUACAAGGAGUUCAAGAUCAAGUGCGAGAGCAACGUAACCGUGGAAUCAAGUCAGUGGGGGAAAGAUAUGCGGGACUUGAACUUAGGGGUCCACAAACUCGGUCCCGGCGGUUACAGAGUGGAGGAACCUAUAUGGGACAAGGAGGACGCAGAGCGUGCCGAGCAAGGCCUACCGCCCCUCUUCGAUAAAUACCGUGGCAAGCAGACCAGGAACUAUGUCAGGGCCCGGUACAAGGUGGACCCGGUAACAAAGGAGCUUACCACGGAUCCGAAGACCAAGGCGCUUGACCUUGUUCUGGUAAGGAAUACACCCCCGCGUAAUUAGCUCCAUAUGGUUGCAUUCUAAUUAAUGAAGCCAAAUUUCUAAACGGUUCACGUUCCUUCCGCAGGACACUGAAAGCAGUAGCGCGGGGGCGUCUCAGAGCUCCCCUUGGGACAUCACUUUAAAUAGGGCGUUGAACGUAAUGAAAAACAAGGAUAAGUUCAGUAAGCCGUCGUCAGCUGGUCGUGUGGCCGGCAAAGGCUUGUCCGUGAAAUGGUCGGAAUACUAUAACGUUGGUGGGCGAAAGGAGAGAAAGACCAACUCGGAAAGCCAGGAGCGCGAGGUUCAAGAACUCAAGGCACAAGUGGCACGGAUUCCGGAGAUGGUCCAAGAGCAAGUGCGAGACCAACUGGGAGCGACGAUCACCACCAUUGUGCCUACCUUGAUUGAGGGGCUGCAGGCAUGGAUUGCGGGUGGCCAACAGGGGCCGCCCCCGAUUCCCAGCUUCACGGCUAGCAACUCGCACAACGCGCCGACGACGCCAUUGGUGUCUCCGGCGGAGGCGGUAUUGGUGUCUCCGGCGCCGGCGCGGGCAUUGGAGCUUAAUGCACCCGGGUGCGGGAAGAAUACGUCGGCCGGCACCUCGGCAGCAAGUGGCCCCUCCGUCACUUACACGCCCGCCGUUGGCGGUGCCUCGACAUUAGCCGAGCUCGACGCCAUCACGGUAACUAAGCCUCUCGGCCGAUGACUUCAUCUCCUUGCCUUUGACUGGGCAUCCCUAACGCCCUACAUGUUAUCACAGGGCGUCGCCGACGUUACAUGCACUCUCCUACACUUCAUGGGCGGCGAGUUGAUCGAUGUCGCCAAGGGCAGAAUCGUUCAACCGGGCAACCCCGUGUUCCACGGUAAUCUGAUGCCACCCACCGUGUAUAGGGUUCAACUGGUUCGGGUGCUGCCGGGCUACGACGACUUGUUACCUCCGUUUCGACCCGCUCGGGCCGACGAAGAUGAUGUGAUGACCCUCAGCGCCUGCUUAAGUUGGCCCCUGCUUUGGCCAAAGAGCCAGAUUCAUUUGGGGGCGGGGGACACCACCCCACAGACAACACCGCUAGUCGUGCCGGCGCCAAGCCAUGGCAAGACCGCCACAACGCUACCAGACAUGCCGGACAUGCAUAUGGCACAGGAUCUGGACAUGCAUAUGGCACAGGAUCCGGACGACGACGGUACAUUUCCCAACGUCGAUAAGUACUUCAACGAACAUGAGUACGGUGAUGAAUUCUUGGGGCCUCCUUCUCAAGAACCCAACCCUGCAAAAGACGACCGCGAUCUAGCUGGUACCGCGAAGAAACCCAAUUGCAACAGGCGUCGUCUGGCGUUCAGUUCUCAGGAGACGCCUCCAACUGCCGCCUUCACCGAGCCUCAGAUAGCCGAGAUGCGAAAUAUUAUCAGCCCCAACACACUCAAUAAGGCGGUCUCUGAGUAGAACUCGAUCCCAUUACAGCAGAAGAAGAAGGGACGGAAAAGAAGGAAUAACAAGGGUGCGAGCCAGCCGGCACCGAGUACGAUCCGUGCUUAGGACGGGCCACCUUCACCUAAAGAUAUCUCGAGGAGGGUGCAUGUGGCGGGUAGGCCAAUGCUACCGACUAAUCUGCUCAAUGCUGCAACCGGUGCUAUGCGGAGUCUGCAUGACAGUGUUCUUUCUUUGGAGAAGCGGCGUCUCUUCGAGAAUGAUGUGGCGUACCCGAUUUUCAUGGCCAAGGUGUCAGAGGGCAAUGGCUUUGUCGAUAGCACCAUCGGGGGUAUGAUCGUCCUGCGGUUUGAUGACAUCUUUGCUAUGUUUAACCUUCAUCCGCUGCACUACACCUUCAUUCGGCUAUUUUCGCUGAGUAUGGAGAUGCGGGUCAUUAGAGACUAGACCCCAGACAUCGUGAUAGUCGACCCCUUCUAUAUGCGUGCCAAGAUCUUGGGCAGUGCUAGGGACCGGCAAGUCGCGAGUUCUUACCUCGAAGGCGUCAUUCUGGCAAACCUAGAUAAGGAUAACUUCCUUGUGCCUUACUUUCCCGAGUAAGUCAUCCCCUCACCGCCCCAUAACAUAUGAUUUCUUAGAUUUCGAUCGUUCUUUUUUUCUAACAUUCCGUGUUUUGUGCCGAGGCGCACAUUGCACACUCAUCCUCUUAAGCCUAAAAUAUUCCAUGGCCACGUAUUUCGACUCGGAUCGUCAGUUGAAGAAAGACUACACAAAUAUCAAGAAAGUUCUUGAUGAAGCUCUCCCCGGCUACGCCAGAUCUGGAGGCACCUUCAGCAGGCCAAUUCGUAGGUACAGCAAGCACGUGUUCACCCACAAAUACGACGUUCCCCUGCAUCAAGCAGCCGCCUGGCGGUCAGAAGGAUGCCUACUACGCCCUCCAUCACAUGCGGGCGAUCGUACGGGACCAUAAUCACCUUCUGCUACCAAAUAAUCUCAAAGAUUGGACCGCAUGCUUGUCGGCAAUCCAGGACGUGGACAUCAGACAAGAAUUCUUUCGCAUCCAGUCGGAGUUUGCGAAAAUCAUCCAUCAAGAUGUCCUUCGUACCUCGGGGCAGUUCUACCUCAGAUAUCAACCGUCCAACAGUGAGAUAGAAACAAUGCUACAAAUGCAGGCUAACAACGACCGCGAUUUCAUGACCAUCAUGAUAGACGGAGGCUUCAUCCACGCUCCGGUCCCUGAGUCGAGUCGAAAAUAGUGAUGCUAUGUAGUUCUAAAAUAUUGAUUAGUUCAUGUUGUAAUUAAACUUUAAUGAACUUGUAUGUCUCUUUAGUUUUGACAGUCGUUCAACUUAUAUGUAAUUGAUGCUAUUUAUUAGUAGGACCAUGAAUCAUGCUAUUAAUGUGUUGCUUUUCUCUUCCGAUCCUUUUGUUGCAUACUUAUAUAUUGCUUAUGUAUUAUCUGUGAAUUGCUACUAACGUUUUGUUUGUCUAGUGCAUAAAGAUGCCGUCGUAUGUCGUGUACAAGGGUAAGAUUUCCGGAGUCUACGAUGACUGGGAGGAGUGUCGGAGACAGGUUCACCGUUUCAGCGGUAACAGUUACAAAGGGUACACCACUAGGAUGGAGGCGGAAGCUAGAUACGCGCGCUAUCUAGCAGGAGAGAGGAGGAAGCGUUGGAGGAAUCGGAUGAAGACCAGUUUUAUCGUGAUGAUGCUCAUCGUGAUGAUCGCAACUCUCUUCUAUGUGAUGGUAGUUUAGAUGAUCGAUAUCGACUUAUAAUGUGAAGACAAUUUCGCUACUCGCGGUCUCGAGACUUGUAAUGUUCUAACUUUGUUCGGUAUUUGAAUUCGGAGACUAAUAUGAUGAAUUGUAUUCAGAGACUAAUCUUCUGUUGUAUUCGAUAAAUCUGUUGUUUAUAUGUUGUGCUGUCUAUAUUCUGUGCAGUAAUAUAUUUUGUAACAUGUGCAAAUAUUAGAAAAGAAAAAAAUCCUAAUAUUCAUACUAGUGGCGCAUCAUACUGCACUUUAGUGACGCACUGUAAUAAACACACUAGUGGCGCAUUAACUAGAAGUGCGCCAUUAGUAACCCAGAGCACAAGGUAAAUAUGGCCCCCUGGGAGGCAUAGUAAUGGCGCACCAUUUGACAUACUAAUGGCGCACUUUCAGGUGCGCCGCUAUUGUCUAGUAUACUAGUGGCGCACCAGGGGUGCACCUAGUGGCGUGAUGAUAGUGACGCACCUGUAGUGCGCCAUUAAUGGCCAAAACAGGUGCGCCACUAAUUAGCCUUUUCCUAGUAGUGAGACACAUUAGUCCCGGUUUGAUUUUGGCCCAGUACCUCUAUCCGGAUUUAUUAGCCCCCCUUGUAUUUUGGAUUCAACUUUGACUUUCUUAUGACUAGAAAAUACAAAGUAUAUUUUAUAAAAAGCAUAUUGUUAGAUUUGUAUUUGAAAGAGAUUUUUCAUGAUAUAUUUCGUGUGACAUAUAAGUUAAAUUUUAUUAGUUAAAACUCAUGGUCAAACUUUGACCAAAAAUAAAAGGGAGCCUAAUAAACCCCGGACAGAGAGAGUACAAUGGUGGCUUGCCUGCGCCAAUCCAUGGGAGGUGGAUAAAGGUGAGUUUGAAUCCAUGAGAGAAGAGAAAUGACAUUUUACUAAUAUUUGAAGAAAUGUUGAAUGUCAUUUUACUAAUAUUUAACAGAUUUAAUGACACCAUAAUUGUGAUGAUUCCGAAUGUAAACUCACUGGAGUUACUGUCACAAUUCCGACCUAUAAGCUUGUGUAAUGUAUUGUAUAAAAUUGUGGCGAAGGCACUGGCCAACCGCCUCAAAGUGGCGCUGCCUUUUAUGAUCUCGGAGGAGCAAAGUGCCUUCGUUCCCGGAAGGUUGAUAACGGACAAUAUUUUGGUGGCAUAUGAAUGUGUGCACGCCAUUAGGACACACAAGAGGAGGAAACCAUUAUGUGCGGUAAAGCUAGAUAUGAUGAAGGCGUAUGAUAGGGUAGAACAAGAUUUCCUUAAGCAAAUGUUGAUGAAGUUUGGCUUCUCUAGUCACUGGACGGAGAUGGUCAUGAGGUGUGUUAAAACAACAAAAUUCUCUGGAAAGAUGAAUGGAGGACUCUCCAACAGUUCUGUCCCUUCAAGAGGGCUUCGGCAGGGAGACCCCCCUAUCCCCAUAUCUUUUUCUUUUUUGUGUGGAGGGUUUUCGGCGCUGCUAAGGAAUGCACAAAGGGAAAGGGAAAUAAAGGGAGUAUUGUUUGGGAGCAACGGCCCCACUGUUACUCAUCUUCUCUUUGCAGAUGAUAGCGUGGUGUUUCUAGAGGGAAUUCAACAAAACUUUGCUUCACUCCGAACCAUUCUCCAGGACUAUGAGGUUGCCUCGGGUCAGAAAGUUAACUUGCAGAAUUCAUCAAUAUUUUUUUGGUAAGGGGAGCACGGAGGAGAGUAAAGAGGACCUCAAACGGGUGAUUGGGAUAGCUUCUGAGGCCUUAAGUGAGAGAUACUUGGGGCUCCCUACGGUGGUGGGGAGAUCCAAGGACGGGACUUUCAAAUAUGUCAGUGAGAGUGCACGUGGGAAGGUGGCAGGAUGGAGGGGCCAAGGGCUCUCCAAGACAGCAAGGGAGGUACUUGUCAAGUCUGGGCUCCAAUCUACGCCAACUUUUACUAUGAGCUGCUUUCAACUCACCAAGAAAAUGUGCAGGAACCUUUCUUCUAUCUCUUCGAACUUCUAGUGAGCUAUUUUUUUCCUUUCACGAGAGUUACAGUUUUACUUCCGCGAGAGGCAUGGUUGUGCUUUCGCGAGAAGCAUGGCCGUGCCUCCUCGGAAACGAAAAAAACGUGUUUUUUCUUUUUUUUCCUUCCACGAGAGUCACAGUUUUGCUUCUGCGAGAGGCACGGUUGUGAUUUCGUGAAAGGUACGGGCGUGCUUCUUUCAGAAAGGAAAAAAACCCGUGUUUCUGGUUCGAUUUUUGCGUCCGUUUUUUUCGUGAAAAAAAGGUUCGUCAAAACUUAUCAACAUGAGAUCUAGUUUUGAAGAUCUCGACGUGAGAAAUCCAACGGUGAAAGCGGUUCGAAAUUUGGACGCAUGGUUUAAAAGAUAAAACAUUUUGAAUAAACGGAUCUACGGAAAAGGGAAAACUCCCAGGUUGCGACAACUGGCGCACAUGCAGCGCGCCACUUGUCGCAACGGGGAAAGGUUGGAGUGAUCUUUACAAUGAGUAUUCCUUGACUAGUAAUUUUGGUUAAUAUUGCUAGCGGGUCCUUAAGCGCGGAACAUGAGCUCCCCGUGGCUCAUGUUGCCUUUUUUUUUGAGUGGUUCUUUUUUUUUGAGCAUCAUUUUUUUUGAGUGGUUGGCUCUUGCCUAACGCGAAAAAUAGUCGCGCCCCUUUUUGUAGCAUCUUUUCUAAUCGGAUGCGCCUAUAGGCCUUGUUUAUGUGUCAACGGCCCAAAUUCUAAAAAAAAAUGUCAAGGGCCCAAGGACAACAAGUAGAUCCACAAAGGAAACCCCCUCAAAAAAAUCGAGACGCCGAGGAAACCCUCGCGCGCCUCCGCCGCCGACCAUGGCGGGCGCUCUCGCAAUCGCCGCCGCCGCCGGUUCUUACGAUCGCGAUUGGGCGGGGCUGCCGGAGGAAAUACUCCUGAUGUUCAUGCGGGAGCUGGAGAUCCCCGACCUCGUCCGCUCAGGUGCUGUCUGCGCCUCGUGGCAUGCUGUUUACCUAGCCGUCCGCCGCCAUCGCUUCCCCCUUCCGAUCCCCCGGAAUCAGCUGCCCUGCCUGCUCUACGCAUGCCGCGAUUCCGCCGCAGACGGCGCCGUCGUCCGCUGCCCCUUCACCGGUGAUUCCGUCCGAGUCCCCCUUCCGCUGCCCCCGCUCACCCGCCAUUCCACGGUCGGCUCCGCGCACGGCUGGCUCGUCACCGCCGACGAGGCCUCGAACCUCCACCUUCUCAAUCCCAUCACGGGCGCCCACGCCGCGCUCCCGCCCAUCUCCACUCUCCACCACGUCGAGAGCUGCGCCGACGCCGAAGGCCGCCUCAUGUACAACGUCUUCGACAGGGGCGAUCCCGAGCCGACGCCCUUGGACGCGCGCGAGGCCAGGGACUGCAUGUACCACCGUGUCACGCUCUCCUGCAGCCCGUCAGCUGGGAGCGCUUGCAUCGUGCUGCUGGUGCACAUGCCGGUCGGCGAGCUCUCUUAUGCCCGGCUCGGCGACAAGCGGUGGACGUGGAUCUCCCCCGACGACCACCAGCUCAUGAGCAUCAGCUGGGGCUUCAUGGACUCUUUCUACAACGAGGAUGAUGGUUUGUUCUAUGUGCUUCGCAGCCACAGGUCCGUCUUCACCCUGAAUUUCAAUGGGCCAUCCCUUGUUGUCAAAAAGAUCAUGCGAAGAGUUAGGAAGGGAGAUGAUCCUUCUAGCAUGUACAUCCUGCAAGCUCCAUGGGGUGAUAUUUUGCAAAUAUGGAGGUGGAGGAGCUACACUGACUCGUCAACACCUGUGGAGCUUCCUAGAGAUCUGCUGGGUCACAACGAAGAUGAGAUAGACCGGUAUAUUGAGCUGAGAACAACUGAAAUAAGGUCUAUAAGGUUGACCUUGAGAACCAGGCACUUGGGAAGUUGACAAGCUUAGCGAAUCAUGCACUAUUCCUUGGUUAUAAUAGCACCAUGUGUUUCGCCACGAAAGAUUUCCCAGCACUGAAGCCGAACUGUGUCUAUAUCACAGAUGACCCUCUUGAGUAUGUCAACAUGUGUAAGCAUAACUGGCGACAAAAGCGGAGUUUGGGAUAUAGAAAACAAGAGCCUGCAGACUUUUGAUAGUGAUUUGCUUACUAAUUCCUGGAUGAACUGGCCUUCUCCGGUUUGGAUAACACCCUCCCUUUUCUAGUAAGUGACUUUUUAUUAGUGAUGCCAUUGUAGACCUUGCAGGCUUGCACACUUGUUCUUGACUUUGAUUACUGUCAAUUUUGUUGUUGUAUUACAGCUUAAUAAUUUGAGUUGUUGUCCCACAAUUAUAUCAAUUCUCUCUAUAUAUUAAGUUAUGAACUUUUCACUAUGUGUCACUGCAUAAUUUUUGGCUUGAUUAUUGUCAUUUUUUUGUUGUAUUAUAGAUUAAUAAUUUGAGUUUUCCCCCCACAAUUAAAUCAAUUUCUCUAUAUAUUAGUUCCUAUGUAUUAGUGGAUAACAAUUUUGGGUUCUGUUAACACCAUUCCAUUAAUCUCUUGUUAGAGCCACGUAGUUUAUAUAAAGACCAGUCUAAUUCGCAUUUGGCAGCAUUGUGAAUGGCAAUAACUUCCUAUCCGUGUUUGGCACCAAAGUGAAGGAUAAUAAUGACAACUUUCAUGUGAUUUAACAGAACUCUACUGACAUAAGGUUUACACACUAGUAUUAAGAGCUCAAAACUUUUAUGCAGUGCUAUGUAGGAAAUAACCUGUUUUUCAACGGUAAUAUUCUUACUAUUUGAACUAGUCAUCAACCCGUGCAGGUGGAUGUGUUAAAAUUUUCAGUAAUACAUUAACUGUAAAGGAGGUUUAUUUUAACACAAGGGCGUGCUUUUUAAAAUUAUUACAGCUAAAAACUAUUACCGCCACUUCCUAUUAUGUCCAAGUUGUGGUCCUUGCCAAUUUCUUCGCACCAAGUAAAUCGAUCUGUUGUAUGCUUUGGUCCUCAGCAGUAAAUGGAGUUUCUUCCUUGCCAUGAAUGGUGUGGUUUGCAAUCUUAAAAAUGAUUCAAAAAUCCUGCUGAAUAGCUUAUUAUGGAAGAAUACAGAUCUUGGUAUUUUCAUUAAAGAAAAAUAACAAAAUGGCAGCACAGAUCAGCAUCAUGGUGUCAAAAGCUUUUUUUUUAUAAAGGAUACAUACAACAGUAGAAUCCAGAGGAGAUGACACCAAGCAUGCUCCUCUUUCUGAAGCAAACUUCUUGUCUAUGUACACAAUGGUAGCAUGGAAUGGGCAUUGGUAGUGCAAUGCUUCCAAGGCUUUCUACUGAGCCAUAUAUUUAUGCAGUAUGUACAAACCAAAGUAUAUAAUAUAUGCUAAGCUUGUGGCUAGAAUUGCAUAACUAAUCACUACAUAUAAUUGCAUAGAAACUCCAUCACAAUAGACGUGAAAGCAAUACAGAGACUAACAUUACUUGUUACUGCUGGGGAGUGGGGAUAGUACUCAUCUUUCUCCGCUGGAUGCACCAUCCGAGUAAAAAUAGACACCAUUACAUUUUUCUCUACACAUUAUGCAAUGGAACAGGGGUAAUAGAAGAAAGGGUCCCAUCAAAACCUUAUUAAAUUAUUGAGUCUAGCAUGUUUCUCUCUGUUUUAAUUACACCAUGGAACACAUGAAGCAAUUUAUCUUGGGAGAAGGGAGUACUCCUGCAAGGCAUAGUAUGUAUAUAUUAUAAGGAAAACACAGUAAAAUUCCAAUUGAAGUAGCACCCAGACCUUUUUAGUAUUUUACAUUUAGGGCAAAGCAAACAUGAAUAUCGUAUUUCUAAUAUUUGGAAUCACAUCAACGCAAUAAGCUACAUAAAUAAACAUGGAUAUUUUUAUCUUUAUUGAUUAACCUUGAAAAUCUGUAUGGAUUCAGUGUUUACUAAAUAGAACAAAAUCUUAAAAUGAUUUGUACAGUUAGUGAUUAUCCUUGGUAGAAGUUCUGCACUAUCGUUGUAAAAGGCAAUCUCACUAAAUAUAGCAGUAUCUUCUGUGUAUAAACCUAACAGCAUGCUCUUAACGGCUUGAACUUUUGCAUGAUAAAGCACAAAUGCUCCAGAAAGAUUGGCCAAUUAGAUCUCCCUGAUCGUUUAGAAUCAUAUAUAUAGUCACUUGCUUGAGUCAUGUGGAACACCAUGGCUCUCCCUGUUCUCAAAUAUCAGAUCAUCAUAAUGAAGCAAUGAUAACAUACCUGAAACAAAAGAUGAUGGUCUAUGAACAAUCAAAUAAGGUUCCCCACACAGUUUAACAUCUAUACCUAUUAUACUGAACUUCCUUGAUCAUUGUGGAAAGCGGUGAUCAAUGAUCUCAAGUACCAAUUAAUUAAUCAUAUGAAUCAAUGAUCACACACCUGAAACAAAAGGCAAAAAUUAGAUAUUAGCUUGUAAUCCGUGAGCGCUCCUAUUGGCAGAAAACUGAAGUGCUCCACCUCAAAGCCGACCUUCCAUUUCAUUUCAGGUACUCAACUAGCAGAGAAAGGCGCACAAAAUUGAAAAUUCUAAUUACAAAUGGAUUUUUUCAGCUCUGUUAAACAACAAUCUAGAGCUCAAGUAUGUAUGCAUUGGACCCUAAAGACUUGAAGCCAUUGAAUAGCUGCUGCGAUGCUCAGAUUUCUGUUUUUGGUUCUAAGCUUCAGAAGAAGAUGCGAGACUCUAAUAUUUUUGUUGUGGGAUCUGGUGCUCUUGGAUGUGAAUUCUUGAAGAACUUUGCUUUAAUGGGGCUUUCUUGUGGCUGUAAAGCAUUUACAUUAUGGAAGAUAGAAAACAUAUAUGGGCAAAUAUGGGCUAACUAUAACAGAUGAUAAUGUCAUUGAGAAAAGCAACUUGAGCCGGCAAUUCUGUUUCGUGAUUGGAGCACUGGACAGGCAAAAUCUACAGUAUCCGCUACAGCUGCUAGUGCUAUCAACUCCAGCUUCCAUAUUGAUGCUUUGCAGAAUCGUGCCUGUCCAGAGACUUGUUUUCAAUGAUGCAUUCUGGGAGGGCCUUGAUGCUGUCAUCAAUGCACUUGAUAAUGUAAAUGCCAGGAUGUACAUGGACAUGGGAUGCCUGUACUUCCAGAAACCACUCUUGGAAUCUUGAACGCUGGGUCCAGAAACAGAUGGUGAUUCGUGACCUUACUGAAAACUAUGGAGCUUCACGAGAUCCUCCUGAGAAACAGGCACCAAUGUGCACAGUUCAUUAUUUUCCGCACAAUAUUGAGCAUUGUCUAACGUGGGCUCGCUCAGAAUUUGAGGGUCUCUGCUAGAGAAAACUCCAAAUGAAGUGAACUCAUUUAUGUAUAAUCCUGCUGAAUAUGCUGCUGCUAUGAGAAAGGCAGGUGAUGCUCAAGCCAGGGCAUUGUUGGAGCGUGUACGUGAAUGCCUUGACAAGGAGCGAUGCGAUAGAAGACUGCAUAGCCUGGGCAAGACUGAAGUACGAUAUAUAUCUCUACUACAUGCCCCUUUGAAUUCAACAAUUUGUUAUUGGCUUUCUUCCGCCUUCUUUUCAUCUUAGCUAUUUGAAGUUAAAAACUUUGAUUAUAUUGCCAACAAAUAGGGCAGUAUCUUUUGUGCUCCAGAUGCCAUGUAAUAACAUUUGUUUUCUUUUGCCAGGUUUGAAGAUUACUUCUCUAAUCGUGUGAAGCAGCUAACAUUCACGUUUCCUCAAGAUGCUGCCACUAGCACUGGUGCUCCUUUCUGGUCUGCCCUUAAGCGUUUCCCUUGCCCGGUGCAAUUCUCAGCUGUCGAUUCAUCUCACAUUCAAUUUAUACUGUCUGCUUCCAUAUUGAGAACGGUGUCUUUUGGGAUCCCCAUACCGGACUGGGUGAAUAAUGGAUAAUCCGGCUGAUAUAGUAAAUAAGGUUGCAGUGCGUGAAUUUGAGCCAAAGAGUGGGGUUAAGAUUGAAACAUAUGAGAAGGCUACUAACCUCCAGUGCCUCAGUUGAUGAUGCUGCUGUUAUCUAAGACCUUUUAACUACCUUCAGGAUUCCAAAUGAAGUCUAUUGAGUUUUAGAAGGUUGGCCUCAUUUUAACUACUUCUGAUGUGUUAGAAUAAGACUUUUUUUCUUUGCCCUGGUUAUUUACAAAAAUCCUUACCCGUUUCACACUGAAAGCAAACAUGCAUAACUAAUGCAUAGGUGUAUAUUUGGAAGAAAGAACAUGAACAUGGACUAUGUGAUUCAGUAACAUUUCUUUCUGCUAUGCAUUGAGUUAUACUCCCUCCGUUCCUAAAUAUAAGUCUUUUUAGAGAUUCAAUAUGAACUACAUACGGAUUUAUGUAGACGUAUUUUAGAGUGUAGAUUCACUCAUUUUGCUUCGAAUGUAGUCCAUAUUGGAAUCUCUAAAAAGACUUAUAUUUAGGAAUGGAGGAAGUAGAACUUAGUUGCUAGUAUCUAUUGUCUCCCUUGUUGCUAGUAAUAAUCUACUCUCCACUUCUGCCCAGAUACAUUGAGGAUAAGUAACUUCGCAGUUCUUCGAGAACGAGUUUUUUUUUGGUAUGCUCCUCUCCACCUAACCUUCCAUGUUGGUUUAUAGGUGACGAGUGUGCAAAGAAUUCCUGUGGAGAGAUGUUUGAAAUAUGCCUCGUGAUUCUUUAUAUGGUGUUAGCGGCCAUCUCCAUAGCGUUUUGUGUGUGUCCUUCCGCUCUGUUGUUGCAUAGCGUUUUUUGGGCUACGCAAAAACGUUUUUGACCAUGUUGGAGUUUUUGGGCAGCUAUUGGAGAGGUUUUUUGGCCUCCAGAAGCCUAAAAAGGCAGGGUUGCCUUAUUGUUGGAGAUGCUCUUAUGAGCAUGGUUACCAUAUCCAGUUUUGUAUGGCAUGCACGGUUUUAGGUUGUCAAUUCGACUACCGAAACACGUCCUGCACGUCAUUAAAAAUAUAUCCUUAGUUUCGCUGUCGAAUGAAGCUUUAAAGUAUUUUUUCUGUUUUUAUAUGAUCAUUCAACAUGAAGGUAUAUAUAUCAGCAUUUCAUGGUAUGCACUUUUUUCCCUAGGAGGAAGGUACACUGAAACAUUAGUUAAAAACGGUGAUCCAUACAAUGGACUAGAGGGAAAAUUCAUAGAGAAAUGGAGCGUACACACACGGAAGUCCACAUAAAACGGCAAAAACACACCGUUUCAUAAAUAAUCCCAAAAAAGACAUNNNNNNNNNNNNNNNNNNNNNNNNNNNNNNNNNNNNNNNNNNNNNNNNNNNNNNNNNNNNNNNNNNNNNNNNNNNNNNNNNNNNNNNNNNNNNNNNNNNNNNNNNNNNNNNNNNNNNNNNNNNNNNNNNNNNNNNNNNNNNNNNNNNNNNNNNNNNNNNNNNNNNNNNNNNNNNNNNNNNNNNNNNNNNNNNNNNNNNNNNNNNNNNNNNNNNNNNNNNNNNNNNNNNNNNNNNNNNNNNNNNNNNNNNNNNNNNNNNNNNNNNNNNNNNNNNNNNNNNNNNNNNNNNNNNNNNNNNNNNCACGCUUUUAACGCCGCAGGCAAAUCCACCCUCGUCCUCGUCGUAUCUCAGAUCUCGUCCUCACUGCAUCACAACAUACCCCUCUCAUUGCCGCCGUGGCCAGAUCUAGAGCGGCUGCAAAAGCGGCGAUUGUGGGCGCGAUAUCACCCUCGGCCAUGGUGAACUCGGCGGAGUCGCCGCCCGCGGCUUUCCCAUCGGAUCUCACCAAGGAAGGCGGCAUUACGGAGGCGGGGGGUGGGGCCACGGAGGUAGUUACAACGUCGUCGAGCGCCCACCGCGGGAGGUUGAUGUCGCUACCAUCAAUUCUCAAGCCCUGGGGGAGCCAACGGCUGCUGCGGUGUGUUCAUGUCAACCGCCAUGGCGCAGCCAUCACCCCGGACACGGGAUCGUCCUCUUAUCAGCAAUAUGAGGUCAGCGAGAGGCUACAGCUUGGCCUCGGCAAGGUGGCAGAGGCGCCGGGCGCCGACAACCCCGCAAUCGACAAGUACCCUGAGGUCACGGAGGCGAUUUCUCCAGAGCCGUUGAAGGCACGCCGUGGCCGCCCGCGUCGCCUUGCUAUGCCAUCCCUCGCGGCCACGACUGUCGCGAGUGCGUCGCCGCAGGCAUUCGAGCGCGAGCGGCGGUUGAUCCGCGCAGAUGCGCUCAAGAGGCCACGAUUCUCCGUAUCACUCUCCGCAGAGGAGAUUGAGGAAGACAUCUACGGCCUCACCGGCACACUCCCGCAUAGCCGCCCUCGCGGUCGGCCCCGCAAAGUGCAAAAGCAGAUCGAUGUGAGUUCCCGUGCCUCCUCUGCUCCCUCCCCCGACCCCCUUACAUUCCAGCCCCUGCCGCUCCUCCCUAGGUACCCGUUUUUAAUUCCAUAAACGCUCCUGCCCCCAGCUGCUAUUUCCCGGCGCGCGGUUAUCGCAGAUCAACAUGGAGUCCUACCGGGUGUCGGACAAUCGCUGACCCUGUCAACUCAACAAGCGCCUCCACCCAAGAGUAAGCAAGCAAAGUGAAUUCAAGGAUCACAAUUCACAUUCAAUUCGGUGCUGCCAUUGUUAGCUGCAUAAUCCAUCGAUUAAUUGUUCAGAUAGAGUCAGAGUUGGUAUGUAUGGAUCCCACCAGGAAACUAGUUGUAAGCAGCAAGUGAUGACCUGUUAGUGAUUUUUAAUUUUGAGUUGUACUCAGUGAUAUUCAUUUCUGUAAUAGCACUAGUGGUGGUUCGUUGCUUUGAUAUCAUCAGCAAUUGGAAGGACGUAAUGUGGUGUACUA
This 19036-nucleotide long non-coding RNA is filed under the name Triticum aestivum (bread wheat). RNAcentral describes it as "long non-coding RNA (TAES_LNC000678)". The record is from RNAcentral. Lineage: Eukaryota; Viridiplantae; Streptophyta; Magnoliopsida; Poales; Poaceae.